GCCCUAGGCCCCCAAAGGCACGUGUCGUUGGUGAACCCCUCGCGGCGGACGAGCGGCGAGGGCCGCCUCAAAUUACAAUUUCUACCGAGCGGCGGGUAGAAUCUUUUGCAGACGACUUAAAUACGCGACGGGGUAUUGUAAGUGGCAGAGUGGCCUUGCUGCCACGAUCCACUGAGAUUCAGCCCUGCGUCGCUUCGAUUCGU
Molecule: ribosomal RNA, 203 nt
Filed under: Prunus dulcis (almond)
Lineage: Eukaryota; Viridiplantae; Streptophyta; Magnoliopsida; Rosales; Rosaceae
Description: rRNA LSU_rRNA_eukarya
Rfam family: Eukaryotic large subunit ribosomal RNA
Source: Rfam by way of RNAcentral